RNAcentral lists this ribosomal RNA (252 nucleotides) under uncultured Bacteroidales bacterium. RNAcentral's name for it is "partial 16S ribosomal RNA". It matches the Rfam family "Bacterial small subunit ribosomal RNA", at positions 524 to 776 of the family's 1533-position model. The record is from RNAcentral. Lineage: Bacteria; Pseudomonadati; Bacteroidota; Bacteroidia; Bacteroidales.
UACGGCGGAUGCGAGCGUUAUCCGGAUUUAUUGGGUUUAAAGGGUGCGCAGGCGGACUGUUAAGUCAGCGGUAAAAUGUCGGUGCUCAACACCGGCCGGCCGUUGAAACUGGCAGUCUCGAGUUGGAGAGAAGUAUGCGGAAUGCGCGGUGUAGCGGUGAAAUGCAUAGAUAUCGCGCAGAACUCCGAUUGCGAAGGCAGCAUGCCGGCUCCACACUGACGCUGAUGCACGAAAGCGUGGGGAGCAAACAGG